RNAcentral lists this ribosomal RNA (253 nucleotides) under uncultured bacterium. RNAcentral describes it as "partial 16S ribosomal RNA". It matches the Rfam family "Bacterial small subunit ribosomal RNA", at positions 524 to 776 of the family's 1533-position model. The record is from RNAcentral.
UACAGAGGGGGCAAGCGUUGUUCGGAAUUACUGGGCGUAAAGGGCGCGUAGGCGGCCUUCUAAGUCGAACGUGAAAUCCCCGGGCUCAACCCGGGAACUGCGUCCGAUACUGGAAGGCUUGAAUCCGGGAGAGGGAUGCGGAAUUCCAGGUGUAGCGGUGAAAUGCGUAGAUAUCUGGAGGAACACCGGUGGCGUAGGCGGCAUCCUGGACCGGCAUUGACGCUCAGGCACGAAAGCGUGGGGAGCAAACAGG